RNAcentral lists this long non-coding RNA (956 nucleotides) under Triticum aestivum (bread wheat). Its description in RNAcentral is "long non-coding RNA (TAES_LNC013024)". The record is from RNAcentral. Lineage: Eukaryota; Viridiplantae; Streptophyta; Magnoliopsida; Poales; Poaceae.
UUUUUUUUUACUCUGAACCAUUAGCAAGCGAGCGAAGGACCGAGCGAGGGCGCUAAAGGGUUGGCCCAAGUGCGGCUAUUCGGUGCUUGACUGGGCCGGCCUGGUUGUUGGUUAGCCCGUUGCUUGAACGUCUCCAGGAUGAUUGCUUCCCGCAAAGUGCCAUCGCCACUCUGAGGCAAUCGGCCAUGGACCCAUGGUUGUUGUUCCCGUGCUUACAUGGGAUCAUACAAUUUUCUCAAAAUGAAAAAAAGAUGGGAUCAUACAACAUGAUGUUUGGAUCACAGCGACAGACCCACAACCAUAUCUAUGAACUGCCUUGUAGAAAACGGUUGAAUUCAGGCAUUCAACACUCAUAUGCGCAGCAUAUGAGAAAAUUGAGUUGGCCAAGAGUGGACCCGAGGCGAGACAGACUACCUCAGCUCAGUAGUGCGGACGAACGAUGCAAUACAAGGCAUAGGUUCGGCUCGGGCUUGUUGCAGGAUCAAGUCCAUCUCCAUUGACUCACGAGGCAGAAGAUUUAAGGCAUCAGCAAGCAGCAGGAAUUCAGAGCACUAACAUAACUACUUCGUACACAAGAUAGUCCACAGAGCAAAUCAUCAAGAAUUAACAAGCAGAGGUAAGACUAGACAUAUAUCAACCCAGCAAUCCAGGAUGCACAAAACCAGCACUGCUGGUCCAGCUGCAACAAGGCUCACAACUUCGAAUUACCAUGCUGUUCAUAAUCUGACCAUUAUAACCAUCUAAAGGACCAAGGUCCAAGAAGGUUCAAAAGUAGAUCCGAAAUUCCAAAAUACUGCAUGCGCAAAAGGCACAUUAAGAUAAAAGGAGGACAUCGGGCUCCCAAGAUAGCCACAGCCAGUAGGACAUAAGGAUUUCAAUCUUCAAGGUAUCGACAUACAUUUUGCUUGAGUCAUCAUCAACCAGCAUCGCCAAAACACCCCACAGCUAUCUCACCA